CUACGGGUUGCACCAGUGAGGAAUAUUGGUCAAUGGGCGGAAGCCUGAACCAGCCAUCCCGCGUGAAGGAUGACUGCCCUAUGGGUUGUAAACUUCUUUUAUGCACCAGGAAAAAGCCCUACGUGUAGGGUACUGACAGUAGUGCAUGAAUAAGCAUCGGCUAACUCCGUGCCAGCAGCCGCGGUAAUACGGAGGAUGCGGGCGUUAUCCGGAUUCAUUGGGUUUAAAGGGUACGUAGGCGGCCUGAUAAGUCAGUGGUGAAAUCCUGCAGCUUAACUGUAGAACUGCCAUUGGUACUGUUGGGCUUGAAUGUAGUUGAGGUAGGCGGAAUGUGUUGUGUAGCGGUGAAAUGCUUAGAUAUAACACAGAACACCGAUUGCGAAGGCAGCUUACUAGACUAUGAUUGACGCUGAGGUACGAAAGCGUGGGGAGCGAACAGGAUUAGAUACCCCGGUAGUC
Molecule: ribosomal RNA, 459 nt
Filed under: uncultured bacterium
Lineage: Bacteria
Description: partial 16S ribosomal RNA
Rfam family: Bacterial small subunit ribosomal RNA
Source: RNAcentral